This 345-nucleotide transfer-messenger RNA is filed under the name Candidatus Nealsoniibacteriota bacterium. RNAcentral describes it as "Candidatus Nealsonbacteria bacterium transfer-messenger RNA". It matches the Rfam family "transfer-messenger RNA". From Rfam's summary of the family: Bacterial tmRNA, also known as 10Sa RNA or SsrA, is named for its dual tRNA and mRNA-like properties. Its role is to liberate the mRNA from a stalled ribosome. The record is from RNAcentral. RNAcentral also lists the same sequence under 1 other name. Lineage: Bacteria; Candidatus Nealsoniibacteriota.
GGGGGUGAAAGCAUUGACAGAGAUUUUUGUUAAAAUAGGCAGGUCAAGUUGUUAGGCCUUGUAAAAACUAACAAACAACAUAAGUGCUAACUUAUUUCAAAAACCUGCUUUGGCUUACGCUUAAAAGCAGCAUCCUCUUUGCUAAUUCUCGAUAAGCAAAAAAGGGUGUUAUAAUAUCGAGAUACUUGGUUAUUCCGCCUCAAAUGACUAAGGAAACGCAGGGGCUUAGUGGCGCUAAAAUUUUGUCUAUUUUUAUUUAGCGCUAUGAAAAACAAAACAGACUAAACCUGUAGAAAUAUUUUAACAAAGUUUCUGGACGCGGGGUCGUUCCCGCCACCUCCACCC